AGAGAACUAGAGGCUGCAGCGGCAGCAGUUGGAGCAUCUCACUGCGGGGCUCGGGAAGGAGGAAAGGAGUGAGCAUGUCCUGCUCCUGCAUGUCCCUGCUUAAGCUCAGGACUGGCCCUUCCAGGCCAAGGACCCCAGCAUAGACCCCAGGACAGGGCCCCAAGGAUCCCUGGCUCAUGAGAGCGGCUUGCUGGGCUGCCCCAAGAGAGCCUGAAGGAAACACAUUGUUGAGCUGAGCUGACGUCGCUGUUUCUUCCAGACUGCUCUCUAAAGUGGGCAGGGUAGCGACCGGCCGGCUCCGAUGGUGACGUCCCACUGCCAAGGGGUGGGAGUGGGGAGAGUCUCCACAGAGCUUCGGAGAAGCUGCUAAGAUGGAAAAGUGGAAACUUGGCAGACAGAUCCAGCCUCCCUGGCCACUGGCCCAUGCUCGUGGCUCCUGGAUGGCGCUGCCACGUUCUGAGCAGCUUGGGACAGGUGGAGAUCAGGACUGGCAGCUGCAAGGACACACCAGAGCCACAGAAACUAAAGAGAAUUUCCAAAAGGAGUCUAUGGUGAAGUCUCUGAGGAUGCAAAGAAGACAAGGAGAAUGAAAAUCCAAUGAAAGCCUGAUUGUAUUUGUUGACCUUAAGGAAAGUGAUUUUAUGGUACAGCCUCUCUGGAAGGGAGGGUGUGUUCGCUCACAGAAUGCAAAUACCCUUUGACCCCCUAAUCUUUCUUCUAGGAGUUUCUCCUACAGAUAAACUUAGAAGGGUGCUCAAAUAAGUAAGUUCAAGGAUAUCCUCUGAAGCAUUGCCGUAGUAUAAAAAAAGCACAGAUACCCUCAAAGGACAUCAUUAGGGGCCUGGUAAAAUAAAUUCCACACAGUGGAACACCGUGUAGCUCUUUAGAGAAUAAACAGCUCUCUAUAUGUGAUCUGGAAAAAA
This 923-nucleotide long non-coding RNA is filed under the name Homo sapiens (human). RNAcentral's name for it is "C1QTNF1 antisense RNA 1, transcript variant 2 (C1QTNF1-AS1)". Lineage: Eukaryota; Metazoa; Chordata; Mammalia; Primates; Hominidae. The record is from RNAcentral.